UUAAGUUCAGCGGGUAUCCCUACCUGAUCCGAGGUCAACCUGUAAAAAGAGGUUUAACGGCGCGCGCCGUCUGAUCCCGGGAGCGAAUUGAAGAUUCACAACGCUCGGAGACAGACGACUCGGCCGGCGACAUUGGGGCGCGCGGAGGACCGCGACGCCCAAUACCAAGCCAGGCUUGAGUGGUGUAAUGACGCUCGAAC
RNAcentral lists this unclassified non-coding RNA (200 nucleotides) under Ascomycota sp. RNAcentral's name for it is "partial internal transcribed spacer 2". Lineage: Eukaryota; Fungi; Ascomycota. The record is from RNAcentral.